Molecule: long non-coding RNA, 810 nt
Filed under: Jatropha curcas
Lineage: Eukaryota; Viridiplantae; Streptophyta; Magnoliopsida; Malpighiales; Euphorbiaceae
Description: long non-coding RNA (JCUR_LNC000888)
Source: RNAcentral
ACGUAUCAAAUGCUCCUAAAGACGAAAAUGGGCCUUUCACUUGUUUCCUAAACUCAUCCCUGAUUGCUGUAUAAAUGGGCUCAAUGAAUCGGGUUAUAACCGUACCUGAAUCAAUAAUGGUUCCAGCUCCCGUAUUCGGGUCAAAUUUUAGAAGCUCUGGGGCAAUGUGUACAUAAACCCGGCCUACGCUAACUCCGGUUAAGUUUACGUAGUAUAAUGAUGGCCGGUGUGGGUUUCGUAGAAGUGGGGUGGUUCUAAUGGCCCUGGGCUGACCCACUGGACCGAGUUUGAGUGAACCCGAGAAGUAAUAGGAUCUGAAACUGGGUAAACAAUAUGAAAAUACACCCGAAUAAAGGGAACUGGAUUGAGAAAGAAGUGAUAAGGAUCCACGGCCCAAACCCAAUAACCCUUGAGGAGGAACUGACCCACCCGAGACAGAGUUUAUGCAUCCAAAAAGAAAAUUGGGGACUACAUCCUUGGCUAAUGAUAACGAAUCUUGCACUAGUGAUGCUGUAAAGGAUGAAUCUCCACCGUAGGAUUGGUUGAAAAGGCAGUAAGAGGUUCCGGUAUCCGGGCAUGAAAAUCCACGGACUUGGGUACAUUGGGCCAUGGAGCAAUCCAAUGACCCGUAAGUAGAAGAGAUAUUUGUAAUGAAUGUGGUGGAGGAGCAACCAGUGCAACCGGAGCAGGGUACCCAAGCAGCAUCAUUACUAGUGUCUAAGACCAUAUUCAUAACUUGACCCGGAGUACCCAAUUUAACCCGAACCACAUAGUUACCAAUGUUUAGAACUUGUUGACCUGGAGCAAUAG